UCAAACAUAUGUUAUCCUUCGCACACAAUUGAAGUGUCGAGGAAGUGGUGAGAUACCCAAGGGAAAUUAUUGGUUGUUCCUCAAUAACUAAUAACAUGGCAAUCACAACCUUUCAAAAAAAUUGAAAAAAGAAAAGUUCGUUAAGUUGAAUACCUACAAAGAUGACUUAGGAAAAAAUCAGGGCACCUCGGUGGGCUGAAAGCUUCAAAGAAG
Molecule: long non-coding RNA, 213 nt
Filed under: Lathyrus oleraceus (garden pea)
Lineage: Eukaryota; Viridiplantae; Streptophyta; Magnoliopsida; Fabales; Fabaceae
Description: Pisum sativum (pea) long non-coding RNA (PSAT_LNC017268)
Source: RNAcentral